RNAcentral lists this transfer RNA (72 nucleotides) under Camelus bactrianus (Bactrian camel). It matches the Rfam family "tRNA". Rfam says of the family: Transfer RNA (tRNA) molecules are approximately 80 nucleotides in length. Their secondary structure includes four short double-helical elements and three loops (D, anti-codon, and T loops). Further hydrogen bonds mediate the characteristic L-shaped molecular structure. tRNAs have two regions of fundamental functional importance: the anti-codon, which is responsible for specific mRNA codon recognition, and the 3' end, to which the tRNAs corresponding amino acid is attached (by aminoacyl-tRNA synthetases). tRNAs cope with the degeneracy of the genetic code in two manners: having more than one tRNA (with a specific anti-codon) for a particular amino acid; and 'wobble' base-pairing, i.e. permitting non-standard base-pairing at the 3rd anti-codon position. Lineage: Eukaryota; Metazoa; Chordata; Mammalia; Artiodactyla; Camelidae. RNAcentral also lists the same sequence under 2 other names. The record is from Rfam by way of RNAcentral.
GAGGGUAUAGCUCAGUGGUAGAGGGCAUGCUAAACAUUCGUGAGGUCCUGGGUUCAAUCCCCAGUACCUCCU